Arachis stenosperma is the source of this 1865-nucleotide long non-coding RNA. RefSeq lists it as uncharacterized. The transcript is spliced from 3 exons. The record is from RefSeq and is a predicted model, not a curated record. NCBI's taxonomy places the organism in Eukaryota, Viridiplantae, Streptophyta, Magnoliopsida, Fabales, Fabaceae.
CCCAAACCUCCUCUCAAACGAAGCUCUCUUCCCCCAAAAAAACAAAACCCUAGCAGUAGCCUCCACCGCCAUGGCAAGGAGGGCUGUCUCCCACCGUCUGUCGCACCGUUGUCGUUCAUGAGCUCUCCAACCUCUGUUCACUCCAACUCCUCUCAACUCUCACUCUCACAAGAAACCCUAGCUUACAGUAGCUUCCGUCCUCGUCUGGUCGUCGUCGUCGUGCUCCAAGUCUUCAACUCCUCUCCUCAUUCACCAAUCGCAGCUUCUUUCUCAUUCUCCGAAAAACAGCUGCAGCGGCAAGAGGAAGAGGAGGAAGGCGCCAGAGAGUUUAAUGUAACAGGAAUGGAAGUGAUGUCCUCACUCUCAUUCACUCUCUCUUCCAAUUCUGCACCAAAUUGGUUUUUUCAUUUUCCCCUAACAGAUUCUUUUUCCAACAACUUCACUUUCAAAACUUCACCUAGGGUUCCACUUUGCUCUGCCUCUUAGGGUUCACGGAUGUUGACGUGUAACCACUUAUUGUCACCGGAUUCGUACAAUUUUAUUGUGGAGGGGCAUAUACGAAAGAUGGCAUUCCGAUACGCAUACAUUUUACCUUCCGGUUGGUGAGUGUGUCGUCACAUUAGAAGACGUGGCUGUGAUACUUGGUCUUUCGAUUAAUGGUCUUCCAGUUAAAGGAGUGACAGUAAGUAGUUUCGAUGCCCUAGAAGUUGAAUGCUGAUCAGUUUGGGGUGGCACCUAGGAAGGCGGAUUGCAGAGAUAAUUUUAUAAAGUUGACGUGGUUAUAGAAUCUGAAAGACCGUUUAGUCUUAAAUGAUGAAAUUAAAAUUCAAAAGUACGUAAAGUGCCACAUCAUGUUGUUAUUCAGGACGAUCCUGUUUAGAGACAAGUAUGGGACAGCGGCACACUAGAAAUUUUUUCCUUUGCUGCGGGACUUGACUAUUAUCAAUGAAUUCAGUUGGUGAUCGGCUUGCCUGGCACACUUGUUAUAGAUCUCUUUGUAGUGCAUCUCAUUUUCGACUAUAAGGAAGUCGAUGGUCCACUAACACUUUUGCUAAUUUGGGCAUGGAUCCAUUUACCAUUCUUGUGUCGAUUCCUGUCAAUCGUUGACUUUUUUCACUUACAAACAGGUAAAAUUAUCUAAGAACAACUUCAGCUAUGUGCUAUCACCGUAUCUUAAUGUUUUAAUUUAGGGUUUGUUAACAAAAUAAAUGAUAUCUGGUGGCAUAAUUGGGAAUGUACUGACUGACCAUGUAGAUUUCAUUCUCUUGCUCACUUUAAGAGGUCGUUAGAUGAACUACAAGAAGGACAAGUAUGUUUUCAUGAUACAAGUCUCUGUGUUUGGUAUGACCUUGUUAUUAACAAGUGCUUAUUUAUGUGUUUCUAUUAUGUAUACAGUUUGUGUGGGAGGCUUAUGGUGUUGGUCUAAUUGAGCCAGACGUGAUUCUGGUAGACAUCCGUCAGCAUUCAAUAGUGUAGAGUGCUUUAGUACCGUUGAUAUCAUUUGAAUGCAUUAAGUGAUAUGCAACUGACAGGUAUAGGCGACAGUUUGGUUUAAUCCAAGGCAUUCCUCAUCAAGAACGGAAUCUAGACCGAGCACACGAGGAAUUCCUGAAUAACCCUAAAAAUCUUGACUGGUCCUCCGAAUAUUCAUUCUAGGUAUUGCAAUGGAUGAACUGGUUUAGUCAUGUUCUUGCUGAUCUUUCCGUGCAGGCACUGCAUCCCCUAGAGCUUUACAUGUACUAGUACUGCAGAAAAUAUGGCCACCACUUGAACUUGUCAAUUCUUAUGGAGUAGGAUAACUAAGAGGACAAUUCGGUAGGUAAUAAUGAGAAUUAAGUGCCACAGACACCUUCACCACCACAGUC